Molecule: transfer RNA, 73 nt
Filed under: Ailuropoda melanoleuca (giant panda)
Lineage: Eukaryota; Metazoa; Chordata; Mammalia; Carnivora; Ursidae
Rfam family: tRNA
About the family: Transfer RNA (tRNA) molecules are approximately 80 nucleotides in length. Their secondary structure includes four short double-helical elements and three loops (D, anti-codon, and T loops).
Source: Rfam by way of RNAcentral
GCCUGGCUGGCUCAGUUGGUAGAGCAUGCGACUCUUGAUCUCAGGGUUGUAGGUUUGAGCCCCAUGUUGGGUA